GGGUUGUGAGGUUAAGCGACUAAGCGUACACGGUGGAUGCCCUGGCAGUCAGAGGCGAUGAAGGGCGUGCUAAUCUGCGAUAAGCGCCGGUAAGGUGAUAUGAACCGUUAUAACCGGCGAUACCCGAAUGGGGAAACCCAGUGUGAUUCGUCACACUAUCAUUAACUGAAUCCAUAGGUUAAUGAGGCGAACCGGGGGAACUGAAACAUCUAAGUACCCCGAGGAAAAGAAAUCAACCGAGAUUCCCCCAGUAGCGGCGAGCGAACGGGGAGGAGCCCAGAGCCUGAAUCAGCAUGUGUGUUAGUGGAAGCGUCUGGAAAGGCGCGCGAUACAGGGUGACAGCCCCGUACACAAAAGCGCAUGUGCUGUGAGCUCGAUGAGUAGGGCGGGACACGUGGUAUCCUGUCUGAAUAUGGGGGGACCAUCCUCCAAGGCUAAAUACUCCUGACUGACCGAUAGUGAACCAGUACCGUGAGGGAAAGGCGAAAAGAACCCCGGCGAGGGGAGUGAAAAAGAACCUGAAACCGUGUACGUACAAGCAGUGGGAGCCCCACCACUAAGCCAGUGGUGAACUCCACAUACGCAUCCUUUGCUGAGGAUACGGUUAACGGAGCGAAAGCGACGUUCAACCGCAAAAGAAGCAGAGGGGGCUUAGUGGUGGGGUGACUGCGUACCUUUUGUAUAAUGGGUCAGCGACUUAUAUUCUGUAGCAAGGUUAACCGAAUAGGGGAGCCGGAGGGAAACCGAGUCUUAAUUGGGCGUUAAGUUGCAGGGUAUAGACCCGAAACCCGGUGAUCUAGCCAUGGGCAGGUUGAAGGUUGGGUAACACUAACUGGAGGACCGAACCGACUAAUGUUGAAAAAUUAGCGGAUGACCUGUGGCUGGGGGUGAAAGGCCAAUCAAACCGGGAGAUAGCUGGUUCUCCCCGAAAGCU
RNAcentral lists this ribosomal RNA (934 nucleotides) under Salmonella enterica subsp. enterica serovar Singapore. RNAcentral describes it as "partial 23S ribosomal RNA". It matches the Rfam family "Bacterial large subunit ribosomal RNA", at positions 1 to 867 of the family's 2925-position model. The record is from RNAcentral. Lineage: Bacteria; Pseudomonadati; Pseudomonadota; Gammaproteobacteria; Enterobacterales; Enterobacteriaceae.